This 278-nucleotide ribosomal RNA is filed under the name Glomeromycota sp. RNAcentral's name for it is "partial small subunit ribosomal RNA". It matches the Rfam family "Eukaryotic small subunit ribosomal RNA", at positions 630 to 898 of the family's 1831-position model. The record is from RNAcentral. Lineage: Eukaryota; Fungi; Glomeromycota.
AGCAGCCGCGAUUUUGUAGUUGAAUUUCGAGAUCAAAUUGUCGGUCGUGCCUCGGUACGUACUGGCAUUACCGAUUUUUCUAUUCUGAUCACAAUGUCAUUAAAUUUUGUGUCGUAGGGAAUCAGGACUGUUAGUUUGAAAAAAUUAGUGUUUUUAAAGCAGGCUCACGCUUGAAUAUACAUUAGCAUGGAAUAACGAAGUAGGACGCUUGAUUCUAUUUUGUUGAUUUCUAGGAUCGAUGUAAUGAUUAAUAGAUCCCAGGGUCGAAUGGUUAUAUU